CACUAAACCUAAAGGCGUAAUGAAAGUAAAAGUUCGUCUCGCGCGAACAGAGGGAAGACGGUCGAUCCCUUCGGAUCGUCCCGCAUUCCCGGGGCGUCUCAUUCUCAUUGCGAGAGGAGGCGCACCAAGAGCGUACACGCUGGGACCCGAAAGAUGGUGAACUAUGCCUGGUCAGGACGAAGUCAGGGGAAACCCUGAUGGAGGUCCGUAGCGAUUCUGACGUGCAAAUCGAUCGUCGGAACUGGGUAUAGGGGCGAAAGACUAAUCGAACCAUCUAGUAGCUGGUUCCCUCCGA
RNAcentral lists this ribosomal RNA (295 nucleotides) under Cryptolaemus montrouzieri. RNAcentral's name for it is "partial 28S ribosomal RNA". It matches the Rfam family "Eukaryotic large subunit ribosomal RNA", at positions 700 to 964 of the family's 3401-position model. Lineage: Eukaryota; Metazoa; Arthropoda; Insecta; Coleoptera; Coccinellidae. The record is from RNAcentral.